GGCAAUCUGCCUUCAAGUUCGGGAUAGCUUCUGGAAACGGGAGGUAAUACCGGAUGUGACAGAGAAACGCCUGUUUUUUCAUUUAAAGGUGGGGAUCUUCGGACCUGCCGCUUGAAGAUGAGCCCGCGUCCCAUCAGCUAGUUGGUAAGGUAAUGGCUUACCAAGGCAAAGACGGGUAGGUGGUCUGAGAGGAUGGUCACCCACACUGGGACUGAGACACUGCCCAGACUCCUACGGGAGGCUGCAGUCGAGAAUCAUUCGCAAUGCGCGAAAGCGUGACGAUGCGACGCUGCGUGUAGGAUGACGGCCUUCGGGUUGUAAACUACUGUCAGAAGGGAGUAAUGUGACAUAUAUUAAUACCGUAUGUCAGUGAUAGUACCUUCAGAGGAAGCCACGGCUAACUCUGUGCCAGCAGCCGCGGUAAUACAGAGGUGGCGAGCGUUGUUCGGAUUUACUGGGCGUAAAGGGUGCGUAGGCGGCGUUGUAUGUCGGAUGUGAAAGCCCACGUUUCAUGCGUGGAACUGCAUUCGAAACUGCAAUGCUAGAGUAUGGGAGAGGAAAGUGGAAUUCAUGGUGUAGCGGUGAAAUGCGUAGAUAUCAUGAAGAACACCGGAGGCGAAGGCGACUUUCUGGAACAUUACUGACGCUGAGGCACGAAAGCCAGGGGAGCAAAAAGGAUUAGAUACCCUUGUAGUCCUGGCAGUAAACGGUGCACGCUUGAUGUAGGAGGCUUUAUCCCCUUCUGUGUCGAAGCUAACGUGAUAAGCGUGCCGCCUGGGGAGUACGGUCGCAAGGCUAAAACUCAAAGGAAUUGACGGGGGCCCGCACAAGCGGUGGAGCAUGUGGCUUAAUUCGAUGCAACGCGAAGAACCUUACCCAGGCUUGACAUGUAUCUGCAAGCUCCCGAAAGGGAGUCGCUUUCGAAGGUGAUACACAGGUGCUGCAUGGCUGUCGUCAGCUCGUGCCGUGAGGUGUUGGGUUAAGUCCCGCAACGAGCGCAACCCUUGUGAUCAGUUGCUAAUCCGUAAGGAUGCACUCUGAUCAGACUGCCCGUGACAAGCGGGAGGAAGGUGGGGAUGACGUCAAGUCCGUAUGGCCUUUAUGCCUGGGGCUGCACACGUGCUACAAUGGACAGUACAGAAGGCAGCGAAACCGCGAGGUUGAGCAAAUCCCCAAAACUGUCCUCAGUUCGGAUUGGAGUCUGCAACUCGACUCCAUGAAGCUGGAAUCGCUAGUAAAGGCGUAUCAGCUACGACGCCUUGAAUACGUUCCCGGGCCUUGUACACACCGCCCGUCACAUCACGAAAGCCGAUUGCACCCGAAGCCGCUGCUCUAACCCGUAAGGGAAGAAGGUGUCUAAGGUGUGAUUGGUAAUUGGGAUGAAGUCGGAACAAGGUA
RNAcentral lists this ribosomal RNA (1398 nucleotides) under metagenome. RNAcentral describes it as "bacterial SSU rRNA". It matches the Rfam family "Bacterial small subunit ribosomal RNA", at positions 120 to 1498 of the family's 1533-position model. The record is from RNAcentral.